UACGGGGGGGGCAAGCGUUGUUCGGAAUUACUGGGCGUAAAGGGCUCGUAGGUGGCCAACUAAGUCAGACGUGAAAUCCCUCAGCUUAACUGGGGAACUGCGUCUGAUACUGGAUGGCUUGAGUUUGGGAGAGGGACGCGGAAUUCCAGGUGUAGCGGUGAAAUGCGUAGAUAUGUGGAGGAAUACCGAUGGCGAAGGCAGCCCCCUGGGAUAACACUGACGCUCAUGCACGAAAGCGUGGGGAGCAAACAGG
Molecule: ribosomal RNA, 253 nt
Filed under: uncultured bacterium
Lineage: Bacteria
Description: partial 16S ribosomal RNA
Rfam family: Bacterial small subunit ribosomal RNA
Source: RNAcentral